This 282-nucleotide unclassified non-coding RNA is filed under the name Exidiopsis sp. RNAcentral describes it as "partial contains 5.8S ribosomal RNA, internal transcribed spacer 2, and large subunit ribosomal RNA". Lineage: Eukaryota; Fungi; Basidiomycota; Agaricomycetes; Auriculariales; Exidiaceae. The record is from RNAcentral.
CGCAUCUUGCGCUCCAUGGUAUUCCGUGGAGCAUGCCUGUUUGAGUGUCACGUCAACCCUCACCCUUGUGAUGUCAAAGUCGCAGGUGGUGGAUUUGGACCGUGCCGUAGUCGGCUCGUCCUGAAAUGCAUUAGCUUGCGCUUUUAGAGUGCUGGGCACCGGUGUGAUAAUUAUCUGCGCCAACGCCUUAAGCCUCUUCAGUGGUGCUGCUUACAAUCGUCCCGACGGACAACUUUAUAAAGCUUUGGCCUCAAAUCAGGUAGGACUACCCGCUGAACUUAA